Molecule: ribosomal RNA, 659 nt
Filed under: uncultured low G+C Gram-positive bacterium
Lineage: Bacteria; Bacillati; Bacillota
Description: bacterial SSU rRNA
Rfam family: Bacterial small subunit ribosomal RNA
Source: RNAcentral
GGAGUUAAUUUUUCUGAAGUUUUCGGAUGGACGAAGAAUUAACUUAGUGGCGAACGGGUGAGUAACGCGUGGGUAACCUGCCUUUUAGAGGGGGACAACAGUUGGAAACGACUGCUAAUACCGCAUAAGACCACGGUACCGCAUGGUACAGUGAUCAAAGGAGCAAUCCGCUAAAAGAUGGGCCCGCGUCUGAUUAGAUAGUUGGUGGGGUAACGGCCUACCAAGUCGACGAUCAGUAGCCGGACUGAGAGGUUGAUCGGCCACAUUGGGACUGAGACACGGCCCAGACUCCUACGGGAGGCAGCAGUGGGGAAUAUUGCACAAUGGAGGAAACUCUGAUGCAGCGACGCCGCGUGAGGGAAGAAGGUAUUCGUAUUGUAAACCUCUGUCUUCGGGGACGAUAAUGACGGUACCCGAGGAGGAAGCACCGGCUAACUACGUGCCAGCAGCCGCGGUAAUACGUAGGGUGCGAGCGUUGUCCGGAAUUACUGGGUGUAAAGGGAGCGUAGGCGGCUCUGCAAGUUGGAAGUUUAAUCUAGGGGCUCAACCCCUAAUCGCUUUCAAAACUGCAGAGCUUGAGUGAAGUAGAGGUAGGCGGAAUUUCCGGUGUAGCGGUGGAAUGCGUAGAUAUCGGAAGGAACACCAGUGGCGAAGGCGGC